UACAGAGGGGGCAAGCGUUAUUCGGAAUUAUUGGGCGUAAAGGGCGCGUAGGCGGCCUGGCAAGUGGAUGGUGAAAUCCCUCGGCUUAACCGAGGAACUGCCAUCCAGACUGCUUGGCUUGAGACCGGGAGAGGUGAGUGGAAUUCCCAGUGUAGCGGUGAAAUGCGUAGAUAUUCGCAAGAACACCAGUGGCGAAGGCGGCUCACUGGCCCGGUACUGACGCUGAGGUGCGAAAGCGUGGGGAGCAAACAGG
RNAcentral lists this ribosomal RNA (253 nucleotides) under uncultured bacterium. Its description in RNAcentral is "partial 16S ribosomal RNA". It matches the Rfam family "Bacterial small subunit ribosomal RNA", at positions 524 to 776 of the family's 1533-position model. The record is from RNAcentral.